Molecule: long non-coding RNA, 1475 nt
Organism: Serinus canaria (Common canary)
Lineage: Eukaryota; Metazoa; Chordata; Aves; Passeriformes; Fringillidae
Exons: 2
Source: RefSeq, a predicted model, not a curated record
GGGGUGGUGGUGGCGGCCCGCCGGGACUGCCCGGGUCGGCUAUCGUCACCCGUCAGCAGGCGGGCGCUCGCGGCCCAUUCCCGCGCACGGCUCCGGGAGGCCACGGCAGGAGCAGCUUUUUAUCGGCCCGCAGCGCCCUGGGACACGCGCGGCUGCGGCAUCUUCCCGGCGGCCUCGGGGAGCCGCUCCUCUCCUGGGCCGCGGCCGCGCUCCCCGUCACUCGUGGUGCGGCCCCGCCUCCAUCCCGGUUGCGGCAGGCGCUCAGAGCGUUUCCCGGUGCCGGUUUCACCGGAACCGGCGCCGAUGGACGGAGCCCCCGUGGGAGCACUCGUGUCAGUCGGGAGCCGUGGCUCUGGGGACACCGCCCGCCCCCGCGGGCAGGGGAGCGACUCCCGCACCUCUGGAAGGGCUUCGAGUCACGCAGCGCUGGUUCGGGGAUAGGGAACGGGCCCUGAACCCGCCUGUCACUGGAGGAUACCUGAACCGCCUCCUCCUGCCGGGAGGGUGUGGGACGGAGAACGCUCGGAGCACGCCCGGUGCGGCGGAUCCCUCCCCGGUACCUGAGGCCAUGCGAGGAUGCUCAGAGGCGCUUUCAGGACCCGGCCCCGCCGCACCCGCUCGCUCGGCAGCCCCUGCCCUGCCCCGACCUCCGAGCCCUCUCUCAGAUCCUGGAGUUGGUUUUCUUGAAAAUGCCCUUCUGCAAAGCGCAGGCAUCAGUCUGUGGGAUCCUCAGGCUGGUGGAGCCGGUCCCUCACCGAGAAUCAGAUCAGCUCCGUGCUUCCCAAAACACUACUCUCCAUAAAAACCGGCCUUAAUCCAACAGCUAAAUCUAUUUGGAAAAAGACUGGCCAUAAGAGUAUGGAAAACUGUCAUAAGCAUAAAGGAAAUGUAUUUCAUUUGAGGUUUCAUAUUGAGGCUUUGGGUCCACAGGCUUAUUUAUUCCUUCUGGACCAGAGAUGUGCCUUCCUCAAGACCAUGAGCUGCAAGUAAGAACAACCCCAAGAGAAAGAAGAAUUAAAGGAGUGAGGGGAAGGAGAAAUCAGAAGAGUUGCCUGUGGAGGAGUCUCAGUACCCAGAGCUGGAGCGGGGGCUGGCAGCAUUAAAACCCGUCCAUUUGAAAUGCAGAUGCUGAAAUCAUUUGGAGGACUGGAAAUACUGAUCAACAGCAAACGGAAUGGGAAGAAGCCAAAGUCAUCUCUUCACAGUCCACCACUAGAAAGUAAGAAACUCAGGCUCUGAAAGUCUCAAGGGUCCUUGUCAGAGGACUCCCCAAGGAGGGAAACUGGCCUACAGCCUUCUCCGUGUUUGCUGAAAGAACGCCGCUUCUAGGGUAAGGAGUGGGAAAUAUAAAAACUCAGAAAGCCUAAGUGUUCAUAUAAGAGCAUUAAAAUUGGUGUGGUCUGUUCAUGGCUGGAAAAAAACACCUUUAGAGCACCUGUAAUGCCAUAGCUGAGAACUAACGCCAGAGAGGAGAA